Molecule: ribosomal RNA, 385 nt
Filed under: uncultured bacterium
Lineage: Bacteria
Description: bacterial SSU rRNA
Rfam family: Bacterial small subunit ribosomal RNA
Source: RNAcentral
GACGAACGCUGGCGGCGUGCUUAACACAUGCAAGUCGAACGGUGACCCGGACUUCGGUCCGGCGAUCAGUGGCGAACGGGUGCGUAACACGUGGGCAACCUGCCCCUCACUCUGGGAUAACCCCGGGAAACCGGAGCUAAUACCGGAUACUCUCGCGGAGCCUCAUGGCAUUUGCGAGGAAAGAUCCGUCGGUGAGGGAUGGGCCCGCGGCCUAUCAGCUUGUUGGUGGGGUAACGGCCUACCAAGGCGACGACGGGUAGCUGGUCUGAGAGGACGACCAGCCACACUGGAACUGAGAUACGGUCCAGACUCCGUACGGGAGGCAGCAGGUGGGGAAUCUUGCGCAAGUGGGCGAAAGCCUGACGCAGCGACGCCGCGGUGGGGA